Molecule: ribosomal RNA, 497 nt
Filed under: uncultured bacterium
Lineage: Bacteria
Description: partial 16S ribosomal RNA
Rfam family: Bacterial small subunit ribosomal RNA
Source: RNAcentral
GAUGAACGCUGGCGGCGUGCCUAAUACAUGCAAGUCGAGCGAACAGACGAGGAGCUUGCUCCUCUGACGUUAGCGGCGGACGGGUGAGUAACACGUGGAUAACCUACCUAUAAGACUGGGAUAACUUCGGGAAACCGGAGCUAAUACCGGAUAAUAUUUUGAACCGCAUGGUUCAAUAGUGAAAGACGGUUUUGCUGUCACUUAUAGAUGGAUCCGCGCAGCAUUAGCUAGUUGGUAAGGUAACGGCUUACCAAGGCAACGAUGCGUAGCCGACCUGAGAGGGUGAUCGGCCACACUGGAACUGAGACACGGUCCAGACUCCUACGGGAGGCAGCAGUAGGGAAUCUUCCGCAAUGGGCGAAAGCCUGACGGAGCAACGCCGCGUGAGUGAUGAAGGUCUUCGGAUCGUAAAACUCUGUUAUUAGGGAAGAACAAAUGUGUAAGUAACUAUGCACAUCUUGACGGUACCUAAUCAGAAAGCCACGGCUAACUACGUG